RNAcentral lists this ribosomal RNA (389 nucleotides) under uncultured beta proteobacterium. RNAcentral describes it as "bacterial SSU rRNA". It matches the Rfam family "Bacterial small subunit ribosomal RNA", at positions 975 to 1368 of the family's 1533-position model. The record is from RNAcentral. Lineage: Bacteria; Pseudomonadati; Pseudomonadota; Betaproteobacteria.
CUACCCUUGACAUGGCAGGAAUCCCGAAGAGAUUUGGGAGUGCUCGCAAGAGAACCUGCACACAGGUGCUGCAUGGCUGUCGUCAGCUCGUGUCGUGAGAUGUUGGGUUAAGUCCCGCAACGAGCGCAACCCUUGUCAUUAGUUGCUACGAAAGGGCACUCUAAUGAGACUGCCGGUGACAAACCGGAGGAAGGUGGGGAUGACGUCAAGUUCUCAUGGCCCUUAUGGGUAGGGCUUCACACGUCAUACAAUGGUACAUACAGAGGGCCGCCAACCCGCGAGGGGGAGCUAAUCCCAGAAAGUGUAUCGUAGUCCGGAUUGUAGUCUGCAACUCGACUACAUGAAGUUGGAAUCGCUAGUAAUCGCGGAUCAGCAUGUCGCGGUGAAUA